This is a long non-coding RNA of Neofelis nebulosa (Clouded leopard), 2343 nucleotides long. RefSeq lists it as uncharacterized. The transcript has 3 exons. The record is from RefSeq and is a predicted model, not a curated record. NCBI's taxonomy places the organism in Eukaryota, Metazoa, Chordata, Mammalia, Carnivora, Felidae.
CUCUCCACUGAGGUUGAGCAAGCCUCAUAAAGGAAAGCCAGUCUUCAAAAAGCCUCUGAUUGGUCUGCUUGGACCCUGUAUCUGGCAGGAGGAGACCCUGAUUGGCCAGCCAUGGUCACGUGCACCUGCAAGAUAUCGAAAGGAUACCUACGAUCACGGGCAGGUCCGAAGACCAUUCUAUUUUUUAAUAUUAGAAAGGGAUUCUUAACUGCAGAUUAAGAGAGACAGUAAAGAAAGCAAGAAGAGAAGGGAGCCAGGAAAAGCCCAGCCCAGGAAGCAGCGAAGGAAGGUUCCAGGACAGCAGCGUACGACAGGUCAAGGAGGUAGCCAAGGGAAACGGCACUAACUGUCAUGCCGGAGCACUGGAGCGGAGUGGAGGAGUGAUCGUGGCGGGCAGCACAGAAAGAGAAGGAGAAGAAAUUAAACCCCGGGGGGUCAGGGGACAGAAACGAGUGCCAUCGGACUACAUGAGUAAGCUCUGCGGUGAACAAUGCUUACCUAGUCACAAUUCUGCAACCACUAUCAAUCAUGGGGCAAGAGUGACAAAACUGAACCCCAAGAAUGGAAUGGGUGGGGGGUGUUAAAGACCUAACUCCUUGCCUGUGUUGCUAGGAAGUCCACAGACAGUGUCUAAAAUGGAUGAAUCAGAGCACCUGGGUGGCUCAGUCGGUUGAGCGUCUGACGUCAGCUCAGGUCACGAUUUCACGGUUCGUGGGUUCGAGCCCCGCAUCGGACUUUGUGUUGACAGCGCAGAGCCUGCUUGGGAUUCUCUCUCUCCUUCUCUCUCUUUCAAAAAAAAAAAAAAAAAACAUUAGAAAAAUCUUUUAAAUGGAAGAAUUAAGAGCGAGAAACACAAGAUAGGUGGAGAUAAGCACCAGAAGAUCCAGCGAGAGAUUACCUGGUGGACUCGUGGCCCACGAAUGGUGGAAAUGUGCGCCAGAGUAAGAUGCAGAGAGGAGGACAAGCCCGUAGACUUUGCAGAGGGGCCGAGAGGCCUGAGAAGUAAGAGAAGACCAGGAGACAGGGGCUCCUGAAAAGAUAGAUAAGAGAUUACCAUGCGGGGUUCCCACAGCUUUUGCAGACAGCGGCUGCGCAAAAAUUCAUUGGAAGAACUGAGGAAUGUUGCUGGCUCCAUCUGGGGGAGGGCAUGCUUGUAUCAAGACACUGAUGCUCUUGAUGUGCUAUAAUUAUAACCAGAAACACUAUCCUUUUGCCCAGGAAACUGGAUUUCCCAGUAAAUUCCUUACUUUCCAACUUGUUUAACGCUAAGAUAAUGCUUUGCUUCUGUGUUCUUAUUUCUUUAUCUUUAACAUUUAUUUACUUUUGAGAGGGAGAGCACAAGCGAGGGAGGGGCAGAGAGAGAGAGAGAGAGAGAGAGAGAGAGAGAGAGAGAGAGGAUCCCAAGCAGGCUCUGCACGGUCAGCGCAGAGCCCAAUGCAGGGCUGGAACUCACAACUGUGAGAUUGUGACCUGAGCCGAAGUCAGACACUUAACCGACCGAGCCAGCCAGGCAUCCCUCCGUGUCCUUAUUUCUAACUUUCUGUUCAACUGUUAACCAUACUAAAUGUACUCAGAUUCAUCUAGUCUAAAAUCGAGGAGAGGUGGUUCUCGCGCCUAGAGAGAGAAUUAUUGAAGAGGCAGCCCGCACACACUCAGGUGCCACAUCUCCAACAGCUGGUUUUAUAAAUGGAAACAGGCACUGGGACCCCUUCUUCUCCCCUUCCCAGAAAGGCUGAUGGAGAGCCUGGCCCAGAUCAGUGGAGCUUUCUUCCAAGAAGUGUCCCGUUCCCAGACCAGCCCUGUAGACACCCCCAAAGUCCCCCUGGACCUGCAGGUAGCAGUACCUCUCCACCCCAGUACUCACCCCACACUCAGGCCCUAAGAUCCCAUUUGACCUAAGCCUGCAGGUAUGAAGUGUCCAAAGCACAGGACAUCUGUCCCCACCCCCACCAACACACACUCUUGACCUUUUGUUCUGAGUCCAUGUGAAAGAGAAAUGUCAACUCUACCAAGUAAAGGAAACAAACAACUUCCUGGCUAGAUGAGAAUAACCAGAACCUUAAGCUUCAUGCCUGGGGGCUGACGGGUACCUAAAGGUGCUCCCUUGGUGAUAGGGGUGAUCAAAACCUGUAUGCUUUUCCUGAGAACCACCAGGUGGGAAGCACCACCUGCACUGAUGCCCUCAGGGAGGCAAAACUAGGGUAGACGUUAUUGGUCCGAUUUUACAAGUGGGAACCUUCCGGGCAGGAGGCCAACAGACAGCCUCAACGGUGGAUAGUGCUGUGCCCAGGCAAGGUCAUGAACCCAGAAGGCGGCCGGGAUCUAGUGAGACGCGGACACUGC